This is a long non-coding RNA of Neoarius graeffei (lesser salmon catfish), 559 nucleotides long. RefSeq lists it as uncharacterized. Lineage: Eukaryota; Metazoa; Chordata; Actinopteri; Siluriformes; Ariidae. The record is from RefSeq and is a predicted model, not a curated record. The transcript is spliced from 3 exons.
AAAAAGUUAGUGCAAGGGCUGCCUUAAAAUUUUGAGUUCACUGGAAUUCACAUAUGUGUAAACUUCGGACGUGAGAGAUUGCAGCCCUGCAAGAACUAGGCUACUGCAAAGAGGCGAAGCAACAUAGAGAGAGUAAGGAAGAUGAAGAUUAUGAAAGAGGAGAGAGAGCCAGAGGUGGAAAGAGAGCCAGAGGUGGUGGUUGGAGAGGUGGAAAGUGAGGCAUCUGAAAGGCAAUCUGAGAGUGAGGAUGAAGACAUUCAGGAUCAGAUUGAGGGACAGAAUGAGGGACAACCCAACAAGUCAUUGGGACAACCAGAUUCACCAUGCAUAUCAAGUACAGCACCAUCAGGUUUGUGAUGUUGAACAAAUGUAUGUGUGUGAGCAGUGUCGACCUACAAUUCAUAUAGCCUACCCUGAAAGUGUGAAGUCUGAAUAAUAAUUAAUAAAUCUCAUCAUCUCUAGCCGCUUUAUCCUUCUACAGGGUCGCAGGCAAGCUGGAGCCUAUCCCAGCUGACUACGGGCGAAAGGCGGGGUUCACCCUGGACAAGUCGCCAGGUCA